Molecule: ribosomal RNA, 497 nt
Filed under: Listeria monocytogenes
Lineage: Bacteria; Bacillati; Bacillota; Bacilli; Caryophanales; Listeriaceae
Description: partial 23S ribosomal RNA
Rfam family: Bacterial large subunit ribosomal RNA
Source: RNAcentral
CUGAGUACGGCGGAACACGUGAAAUUCCGUCGGAAUCCGGGAGGACCAUCUCCCAAGGCUAAAUACUCCCUAGUGACCGAUAGUGAACCAGUACCGUGAGGGAAAGGUGAAAAGCACCCCGGAAGGGGAGUGAAACAGUUCCUGAAACCGUGUGCCUACAAGUAGUUAGAGCCCGUUAAUGGGUGAUAGCGUGCCUUUUGUAGAAUGAACCGGCGAGUUACGAUUUGUUGCAAGGUUAAGCGGAAAAAGCGGAGCCGUAGCGAAAGCGAGUCUGAAUAGGGCGCAUAAGUAACAGGUCGUAGACCCGAAACCAGGUGAUCUACCCAUGUCCAGGAUGAAGGUAAGGUAAUACUUACUGGAGGUCCGAACCCACGCACGUUGAAAAGUGCGGGGAUGAGGUGUGGGUAGCGGAGAAAUUCCAAUCGAACUUGGAGAUAGCUGGUUCUCUCCGAAAUAGCUUUAGGGCUAGCCUCGAGGUAAAGAGUCAUGGAGGUAGA